This 168-nucleotide non-coding RNA is filed under the name Drosophila virilis. RNAcentral describes it as "Eukaryotic large subunit ribosomal RNA". It matches the Rfam family "Eukaryotic large subunit ribosomal RNA", at positions 2845 to 3002 of the family's 3401-position model. The record is from Rfam by way of RNAcentral. Lineage: Eukaryota; Metazoa; Arthropoda; Insecta; Diptera; Drosophilidae.
CAAGCGUUCAUAGUGACGUCGCUUUUGGAUCCUAUGACGUCGGCUAUUCCUAUCACUCAGAACCAGAACUCAUCAUGCGUUGGAUUGUUCAGCCAUGCAUAGGGAACGUGAGCUGCAUUCAGUCGAUUAUCAGACAUGUCAGUCUGACCCUCCUGACGCCAAAAACGU